Molecule: signal recognition particle RNA, 257 nt
Filed under: Lachnospiraceae bacterium
Lineage: Bacteria; Bacillati; Bacillota; Clostridia; Lachnospirales; Lachnospiraceae
Description: signal recognition particle sRNA large type
Rfam family: Bacterial large signal recognition particle RNA
About the family: The signal recognition particle (SRP) is a universally conserved ribonucleoprotein involved in the co-translational targeting of proteins to membranes. Archaeal SRP consists of a 7S RNA and homologues of the eukaryotic SRP19 and SRP54 proteins. In most bacteria, the SRP consists of a 4.5S RNA and the Ffh protein (a homologue of the eukaryotic SRP54 protein).
Source: RNAcentral
CCGCAUUCUUACAUUGACAAUAUUUUAAAAAAUGAGUAUACUAGGUAUGCCGUAUGUAUCUUAUGAAUCGGCAUCGUUACAGCUGCCCCGGAUAAGUGGCGCUUAAGCUCGGGUCUCGCGCGACGGAAAUCCACGAACCGUGUCAGGUUGGGAACAAAGCAGCACUAAGAGGAACCUUCCGGGUGCCGUGAGGCAACCUGGGCCCAGCUAACUGUUCGGGUAACGUGUAGCGGUGUCAAUUGAUAAGAUACAUGCGG